This 74-nucleotide transfer RNA is filed under the name bacterium. Its description in RNAcentral is "tRNA-Ile". It matches the Rfam family "tRNA". Rfam says of the family: Transfer RNA (tRNA) molecules are approximately 80 nucleotides in length. Their secondary structure includes four short double-helical elements and three loops (D, anti-codon, and T loops). The record is from RNAcentral.
GGGCCUUUAGCUCAGUUGGUUAGAGCGGCCGGCUCAUAACCGGUUGGUCCUGGGUUCGAGUCCCUGAAGGCCCA